CAACGGAUCUCUUGGUUCUGGCAUCGAUGAAGAACGCAGCAAAAUGCGAUAAGUAAUGUGAAUUGCAGAAUUCAGUGAAUCAUCGAAUCUUUGAACGCACAUUGCGCCCGCCAGUAUUCUGGCGGGCAUGCCUGUUCGAGCGUCAUUUCAACCCUCAA
Molecule: ribosomal RNA, 158 nt
Filed under: Fusarium sp. 6314
Lineage: Eukaryota; Fungi; Ascomycota; Sordariomycetes; Hypocreales; Nectriaceae
Description: 5.8S ribosomal RNA
Rfam family: 5.8S ribosomal RNA
About the family: 5.8S ribosomal RNA (5.8S rRNA) is a component of the large subunit of the eukaryotic ribosome. It is transcribed by RNA polymerase I as part of the 45S precursor that also contains 18S and 28S rRNA. Functionally, it is thought that 5.8S rRNA may be involved in ribosome translocation.
Source: RNAcentral